Molecule: ribosomal RNA, 1213 nt
Filed under: metagenome
Description: bacterial LSU rRNA
Rfam family: Bacterial large subunit ribosomal RNA
Source: RNAcentral
AAAUUAAGUCCGUAACUUAGGGAAAAGGACUGCCACUGGUUGUGAGGACGACUAGCUUGUCUGAGCGAUUGGUGGUCGCAGCGAAAUGGCUCUGCCGACUGUUUAACAAAAACACAGGUCUCUGCGAAAGCGAAAGCUGACGUAUAGGGGCUGACGCCUGCCCAGUGCCGGAAGGUUAAGGGGAGAUGUGAUGAGCAUUGAACCGAAGCCCCGGUGAACGGCGGCCGUAACUAUAACGGUCCUAAGGUAGCGAAAUUCCUUGUCGGGUAAGUUCCGACCCGCACGAAAGGCGUAACGAGCAGAGCACUGUCUCAACAAGGGACCCGGCGAAGUUGAAAUAGCGGUGAAGAUGCCGUUUACCCGCAGCAGGACAAAAAGACCCCGUGGAGCUUUACUGUAGCUUGACAUUGAGUUAGGGCUUUGUCUGUGUAGGAUAGGUGGGAGGCUGUGAAGCUGGUCCGCUAGGAUCGGUGGAGUCGACGUUGAAAUACCACCCUGAUGGAGUCUUGGCUCUAACCUGUGGCCCUAAUCGGGCAUGGGGACAGUGUCUGGUAGGCAGUUUGACUGGGGCGGUCGCCUCCUAAAGAGUAACGGAGGCGCCCAAAGGUUCCCUCAGGCUGAAUGGAAACCAGCCGUAGAGUGUAAAGGCAUAAGGGAGCUUGACUGCGAGACAAACAAGUCGAGCAGAGACGAAAGUCGGGCUUAGUGAUCCUACGGUUCCGAGUGGAAGGGCCGUGGCUUAACGGACAAAAGCUACCCCGGGGAUAACAGGCUGAUCUCCUCCAAGAGUUCACAUCGACGAGGAGGUUUGGCACCUCGAUGUCGGCUCGUCGCAUCCUGGGGCUGAAGUAGGUCCCAAGGGUCCGGCUGUUCGCCGGUUAAAGCGGUACGCGAGCUGGGUUCAGACCGUCGUGAGACAGGUCGGUCUCUAUCCGCUGUGGGCGAAGGGGAUUUGAGAGGGGCUGCCCCUAGUACGAGAGGACCGGGGUGGACAGACCGCUGGUGUACCAGUUGUCUCGCCAGAGGCAUUGCUGGGUAGCUAAGUCUGGCAGCGAUAGCCGCUGAAAGCAUCUAAGUGGGAAACGCGCCUCAAGAUGAGAUCCCCCACUGUAAAAGGGUAAGUGCACCGGGAGACUACCGGUUAGAUAGGCGGCAGGUGUACGCACUGUGAGGUGUUGAGCCGAGCCGUACUAAUGCACGAGGACUUAAUCCA